RNAcentral lists this unclassified non-coding RNA (1419 nucleotides) under uncultured Neocallimastigales. RNAcentral's name for it is "partial contains small subunit ribosomal RNA, internal transcribed spacer 1, 5.8S ribosomal RNA, internal transcribed spacer 2, and large subunit ribosomal RNA". The stretch from base 662 to 1419 matches the Rfam family "Eukaryotic large subunit ribosomal RNA", at positions 1 to 617 of the family's 3401-position model. The record is from RNAcentral. Lineage: Eukaryota; Fungi; Neocallimastigomycota; Neocallimastigomycetes; Neocallimastigales.
UUUCCGUAGGUGAACCUGCGGAAGGAUCAUUAAAAAAUUGGACUCCAUUGGUGAGUUCAUUAAUAAUCCCUACCCUUUGUGAAUUUGUUUGUUUGAAUAAUUUUUUUUCCAAAAAAAAUUAUUGAAUGUCUUUCCUUGUUUUGGUGGAGCUUGUAAAGUGAAACCAGGCAGGGGAAUGGCAAACAAUAAUUAUUUUUGAAAAAGACCUUUUUUUAAAAUUAAACUUUUUGUAUUCAUUUGUCUAAAAUUAAUUUUUAUAAUAUAAAAACAACUUUUGACAAUGGAUCUCUUGGUUCUCGCAACGAUGAAGAACGCAGCAAAAUGCGAUAAGUAGUGUGAAUUGCAGAAUACGUGAAUCAUCGAAUCUUCGAACGCAUAUUGCACUUUUUUAGUUUACUAAAAAAGUAUGUCUGUUUGAGUAUCAGUAAAAUAUUCUCAUAAAAAACAUUGUUUUUUUUAUGGUUAUGAGUGUUUUACAACGAUAACAAGUUGUUUCACUUUAAAUUCUUUGUUAUCAAAAAAAUCAUUAAAAGCUAAUUUUAAAGAUUUUUUAAAAUUGGAUAAAAUUUUCCCGUAAAAAGGAAUAACCUAAACAAUUUUAAAAAAUUAAAAUUGGUUUGAUUUUUUUUGAAACCCAAAGGAAAAAAAAACGAAAUUAACUUGAUCUCAAAUCAGAUAAGAGUACCCGCUGAACUUAAGCAUAUCAAUAAGCGGAGGAAAAGAAACUAACUAGGAUUCCCUCAGUAACGGCGAGUGAAGCGGGAAGAGCUCAAAUUUGAAAUCUUCAAGGUUUUACCUUGACGAAUUGUAGUUUAAAGAAGUGUUUUCUGUUGGAGUUUUGGUAAAAGUUCUUUGGAAAAGGACAUCAUAGAGGGUGAGAAUCCCGUAUUUGACCAUUAUCUCCAGCUUUGUGAUACACUUUCAAAGAGUCGGAUUGUUUGGGAAUGCAGUCCAAAAUGGGUGGUAAAUUUCAUCUAAAGCUAAAUACUGGCGAGAGACCGAUAGCGAACAAGUACCGUGAGGGAAAGAUGAAAAGAACUUUGAAAAGAGAGUUAAACAGUACGUGAAAUUGUCAAAAGGGAAGCGUUUGACACCAGUGUUGUUUUCUCGAAAAUCAAUUAAAAAAGGCCGGAUUUUGUGUUGUAUUGACUUUAUCAGCUUUCUGCACUCUUUUCUUGUCUUUUUUAAUGCACUUUUCGUUUAACAAGUCAACAUCAAUUUCUUUUGUUGUAAAAGGGUCAUUGGAAGGUGGCUUUCUUUUCGGAGAAAGUGUUUAUAGCCUUUGGCCUCUGCAAUCGGAGAGAUUGAGGUCUGCAGCGUAGAUCCUUCGGGGUUAGAUACAUUUGUGCUAAGUUAUAGCCUUUCAUAGACAACUUGUUGACUAUGAUCAGUCAUGUAGCUUACUCGCUUAUGCUAUUU